Small nuclear RNA from Erinaceus europaeus (western European hedgehog), 158 nucleotides. Its record names the gene U1. It matches the Rfam family "U1 spliceosomal RNA". From Rfam's summary of the family: U1 is a small nuclear RNA (snRNA) component of the spliceosome (involved in pre-mRNA splicing). Lineage: Eukaryota; Metazoa; Chordata; Mammalia; Eulipotyphla; Erinaceidae. The record is from Ensembl.
AUAAAUAAGGGGAGAUACCAUGAUCACAAAGGUAGUUUUCCCAGGGUGAGGCUUAUCCAUUGCACUCUGGAUGUGCUGACGCCCGUGAUUUCUCCAAAUGUGGGAAACUCAACUGCAUAAUUUGUGGUAGUGGGGGAAUGCAAUCGUGCUCUCCCCUG